GCUUCCGUGGCGCAAUUGGCUAGCGCGUCUGACUGUUAAUCAGGAGGUUGGUGGUUCGAGCCCACCCGGAAGCG
This is a transfer RNA of Batrachochytrium dendrobatidis JAM81, 74 nucleotides long. It matches the Rfam family "tRNA". Rfam says of the family: Transfer RNA (tRNA) molecules are approximately 80 nucleotides in length. Their secondary structure includes four short double-helical elements and three loops (D, anti-codon, and T loops). The record is from Rfam. Lineage: Eukaryota; Fungi; Chytridiomycota; Chytridiomycetes; Rhizophydiales.